GAAAGAUUUGGGGUGGAGGCAGCAGGAGAGGCUGUGAGCUUCCUCCUUUCCAGCUCUGCAUUGGAGUCUC
Molecule: long non-coding RNA, 70 nt
Filed under: Taeniopygia guttata (zebra finch)
Lineage: Eukaryota; Metazoa; Chordata; Aves; Passeriformes; Estrildidae
Description: lncRNA (ENSTGUG00000023051.1)
Source: RNAcentral